UACCCGCAGCUCGAGUGGUGGUCGCUUUUAUUGAGCCUAAAACGUUCGUAGUCGGCCUUGUAAAUCCCUGGGUAAAUUGGGCCGCCUAACGGUUCAAAUUCCGGGGAGACUGCAAGGCUAGGGACCGGGCGAGGUCAGAGGUACUUUCGGGGUAGGAGUGGAAUCCUGUAAUCCCGAAGGGACCACCUGUGGCGAAAGCGUCUGACUUGAACGGCUCCGACGAUGAAGAACGAAGGCUAGGGGAGCAAACCGG
This 253-nucleotide ribosomal RNA is filed under the name uncultured archaeon. RNAcentral's name for it is "partial 16S ribosomal RNA". It matches the Rfam family "Archaeal small subunit ribosomal RNA", at positions 474 to 727 of the family's 1478-position model. The record is from RNAcentral.